Molecule: long non-coding RNA, 482 nt
Filed under: Brassica napus (rape)
Lineage: Eukaryota; Viridiplantae; Streptophyta; Magnoliopsida; Brassicales; Brassicaceae
Description: long non-coding RNA (BNAP_LNC003848)
Source: RNAcentral
GAUUACUGCAGGAAAGUUUUCAUGUACGCGCUUGAGGAUCUCGGUACCAUUCUUGAGGAAAUGGGUGAAGAUCUUAACACGAUCGGUAACAAAUUCGACCAGCUUAAGCAAUGGUUAACCGGUGUUUACAAUUACCAAACCGAUUGUCUUGACGAUAUUCAAGAAGAUGAUUUGAGAAAGACUAUUGCUGAAGGCAUUUCUAGCUCCAAGAUUCUUACUGGUAAUGCCAUCGACAUCUUCCACACAGUUGUUAGCGCCAUGGCCAAGAUUGACGCUAAAGUCGAUGAUUUCAAGAACAUGACAAGUGGAAUCUUCACUCCUUCAGCUCCGGCCAACAAAGAAGCCGCUCCUGUCGUUGACACUCCCGUGGCCGACCCUGACGGUCCUUCUCGUCGUCUUCUUGAAGACCUUGACGACCUUGGAGUUCCAACAUGGGUUUCAGGUGCAGACAGGAAGCUCAUGGCUAACGCUGGACGUGGCCG